Molecule: ribosomal RNA, 349 nt
Filed under: uncultured bacterium
Lineage: Bacteria
Description: bacterial SSU rRNA
Rfam family: Bacterial small subunit ribosomal RNA
Source: RNAcentral
GGGCCCGCACAAGCGGUGGAGCAUGUGGUUUAAUUCGAUGAUACGCGAGGAACCUUACCAGGGCUUAAAUGUAAGUUGCAUUAGUUAGAGAUAGCUAUUUCUUCGGACUACUUACAAGGUGCUGCAUGGUUGUCGUCAGCUCGUGCCGUGAGGUGUCAGGUUAAGUCCUAUAACGAGCGCAACCCCUGUUGUUAGUUGCCAUCGAGUCAUGUCGGGAACUCUAACAAGACUGCCGGUGCAAACCGUGAGGAAGGUGGGGAUGACGUCAAAUCAUCACGGCCCUUACGUCCUGGCUACACACGUGCUACAAUGGCCGGUACAAAGGGCAGCGAAGCCGCAAGGUGGAGCG